This 168-nucleotide unclassified non-coding RNA is filed under the name Glomeromycotina sp. RNAcentral's name for it is "partial contains small subunit ribosomal RNA, internal transcribed spacer 1, and 5.8S ribosomal RNA". The stretch from base 1 to 47 matches the Rfam family "Eukaryotic small subunit ribosomal RNA", at positions 1785 to 1831 of the family's 1831-position model. Lineage: Eukaryota; Fungi; Glomeromycota. The record is from RNAcentral.
AAAGUCGUAACAAGGUUUCCGUAGGUGAACCUGCGGAAGGAUCAUUAUUGAACCUAAGCAAGCCUGACUUGCGCGUAUUUAAAACCCCACACAUUUAAAAAUAACGUAUAUUUUACUUAAAAAUAAGUAAUUAAAAGAUCACUUUCAACAACGGAUCUCUUGGUUCUC